AGUGGCGAUAGUAGUGGCAAGAGGAUGAACAACAAGUUUGAUGCUUUGAAAGAUGAUGACAAUGGGGACCAUGAUCAGAAUGAAGAAAGCAGCACACAGAAAGAUACUGAGAAAGAAAAAAACAGAAUGGGACAAGAAUAAGAGCAGUAACAAGAGGAAGGCUGUUGUCCCUGGACAGGCAGAGCAUCCCCUCCAGUAUAACUACACUUUCUGGUACUCCAGGAGAACCUCUGGCUGUCCCACCAGCUCACAGAGUUAUGAACAGAAUUAUCAAACAGAUUGGUGCCUUUGCCUCUGUGGAGCAGUUCUGGAGGUUUUAUAGCCACAUGAUAUGUCCAAAGGAUCUGACAGGCCACAGUUACUUCCAUCUCUUCAAAGAAGGAAUUAAACCCACGUGGGAGGAUAAUGCAAAUAAAAAUGGUGACAAGAGGAUUAUUUGGCUGCCGAAGGGCUUGAUCUCCCAUUGCUGGGAGAAUCUCAUUUGGCCAUGAUAGGGGAACAGUUCAUGGUUGGGGAGGAGAUCUGUGGGGCUGUGGUCUCUCUUCACUUUCAAGAGGACAUUAUUUCAAUAUGGAAAAGACUGCCAGUGACCAAGCAACCACAGCCCAAAUCCGGAAUACACUUUGGCGAGUGCUUAACCUAUCUCCCAACACCAUUGUGAAAUACAAAACUCACACUGACAGCAUCAAAAUGCCAGGCAGACUGGGCCCCCAAGGGCUCCUUUUCAAAGCCUCUGGAAGGUGUGGUUGAAAGUGCCAUGACCCUCUCCCUCUCCGGAUGGCACUAUCCUUGAAGCUGGUGUCAUUAGAGUCUCUUGUUCUGUUGGUGUGCUACCUGGAAGAUCCUUCUGUCCUGGACAAGAUAAUUAAAAGAGCAUUUUAUGUUUUAAGAACAGGCUGACACAGAGCAGCUACAACAACAGCUGAGAUUGCUCAAUAAACGGUGCUAAA
Molecule: RNA transcript, 950 nt
Organism: Mandrillus leucophaeus (drill)
Lineage: Eukaryota; Metazoa; Chordata; Mammalia; Primates; Cercopithecidae
Gene name: eukaryotic translation initiation factor 4E type 2 pseudogene
Exons: 1
Source: RefSeq, a predicted model, not a curated record